AUGAAGGCCACAUUGCUCAACUCUGAAAUCCCAGUCCAGUGGGGUUUACUGAGAGCCGGUAUAUCUUUCAUCCUCCCAGCUCCUCCCUGCUCAGAGAAACCCUUCCUUACAAGGGUGCUGGCUUCUCAAAGGACGAGAUACUCCCCCACGCUGAGAAUGACACUUCCCACCAAGUGGAGGUUUACUUGGUUGAGCACCAGACAUCCAUCCUCAAAAAAGCAAUACUGCGGAGUGGAAGCAUGCAGCAUCUCUAAACUUCAAACACAGACAAAUGGUUUGCAUUCUAACAUCACCCAUGAGACAGCCUGACAGGAACACACAUCCUAGAUUACCCGCGUCAAGGACACCCCAGGACCACAUAAAACCCCCAACCCCAAACCAUCAUGUGCUUCUCCCUUGAGGGCUUGCACUCAAGUACAUACUUUUAAAAUUCUGCUUAAUAAAUCUUUCUAAGCCUUUCACUGACAGGUCUUUUCUUUGCCAUCCUAAAGAUGGGGUGAGGUGAGGUCCCCAUCUCCUCUUUGGGGGGACUCCUUGGGUGCUGCCUGCUUACAGCAUGCUCUACCUACCUCGGCCACCAUAGGAUUUCCUUGCUGUUUAUUGAACAGGUCAGCCAUGCUCCAACCUUGGUGCCUUUGCACUUGAGGCUCGUGUAUCUACACAGCUAACUCUGUCACAGCCUUCAUAUGCCCUCUGGUUCCCAUACUGCCCCUCUAUCCCACCUCUUUUCUCUUCACAUUAUCUAUAACCAUGUAAUGCACUGUAUGUUUGUUUAUUGCUUGACUGCUCCUCUCAGAAAGUAAAUUUAGUGAGUGUGUUAGUCUAUUUUCAUUGCUCUACCCAGAGCAUUUAGAUAGUUCUUACCACACUACAGGCUCUCAAUGAUGGGUUUAUCCACUCAUUCUUAUAACGAACCACUUAAUCUACCAUCCCAAUUUGGCAUAUUUCGGUUCUUCUUAUGCAAGUUAGGCUCCUCCCCAUUGGUCAUCACUUCUCCUGGGAUAACCUCAUGUGGUGUCCUUUACUGCCCCUACCAUCAUCAGGGCACAGCAUGCACUAUCAUCAACUAGACUGGGAUCAGAGAGACCUGGGUACAGAUUUCGGUUGGCCGCUAAAUGACUAUGAGGCUUAGAGCAAGGCAGUUAGCCUAGGUAAGCCUUAAGUUUCUCAUCUGUUUAAUACUGAUGAUAACAUCACCCUACGGAGUUCUUGGAGGAUCAAGGAGAAUUUGGCACAGAAAGGCUGUAGUAACAAAGGCAAUCUAGCAAACGGUAAGCACUUAGCAGGUGUUAGUUUCUGCUAUAAGUAUUAUUUAGAGAAAGAUUUGUUGAGUUCUAUUCAUCCAAGUCAUCAUAAAUACAUACUAUAAAUGAGUUCCUUCCCCAGUCACUUGGAUAAUGGCUUCUAUUUUAAUAUCCUUCUCCCCACACAGACAAUCCCUUUAGCCUUUGAUAGAUGUCCUAUUUUUUUAAAGCUGCAAAGUCAAUUCGGAAGCAAAAAGGAAAACUUAUGUAUUAUCAUUAGCACAAAACCCCCAAGGAUUCACAAGGUUAAAGGUCUGAAUAGAGCUGGCCCUUCAUCUCCUUUUAAACUUUCUACUUCAGAGACUGUGAGAUAAAGGUCAAUAACCUUAGGGCAUAAAAGAAACAAAUGUAGCUUUUCUACAAGAUGAAGUUAACAGACAUAAGGCUGAAAGGAACCGAGAAGCUAUUUUAUUCCAUCAUUUAGGGUAUACUCAAAGUAAAUUCCAAUGAACCACAUAAAUCUUUUAGCACCCACAAUGCAACUCAU
Molecule: long non-coding RNA, 1791 nt
Filed under: Fukomys damarensis (Damara mole-rat)
Lineage: Eukaryota; Metazoa; Chordata; Mammalia; Rodentia; Bathyergidae
Description: lncRNA (ENSFDAG00000024316.1)
Source: RNAcentral